This is a non-coding RNA of Taeniopygia guttata (zebra finch), 45 nucleotides long. The record is from Rfam. NCBI's taxonomy places the organism in Eukaryota, Metazoa, Chordata, Aves, Passeriformes, Estrildidae.
CCAAAGGCUCUUUUCAGAGCCACCCACAAAGUCCUAAGAGAGCUG